AACCUACGGGAGUGGGAGCAGGAGGUGAUGUGGUGGUUGAUAUCGGCGAGUUUGCUGGAGCGGAAGCUGGAGGUGAAGUAGAGGUUGAUGCCGGUGAAAUUGAUGGUGAGGGUGAGUUGUUUGAAGGGUAUGGAGAUAGUGGAGAUGGUGCUAUUCCAUUUCCAGAGGGUGUUUGUGCUGUCGAUGGAGGCUGAGAGGAUAUUUGAGGUGAUUGGGAAGAUGAUGGAGAAGAGGUGGUUGGUGGAGUAUGAAUGUAAGGUGGUUGAGAUGUUGGUGAAUGAGUGUUUGGUGGUGUUUGAAUAUAUGGAGGUUGUGAGAUUGGUGAAGGAGCACCUGGAGGUGUUUGAGAAGAUGGAGAUGGAGUACUUUUUGGAGGGGCUGAAACGUAUGGUGGUUGUGAUGUUGGUGAAGAAGGAGAGUUUGGAGGUGUUUGAAUGUAUGGUGGUUGUGAUCUUGGUGAAGAAGUGUUUGGUGGUGUUUGAAUGUAUGGAGGUUGUGAUGUUGGAGAAUCGUUUUUUGGAGGUGUUUGAAUAUAAGGUGCUUGUGAUGAUGUUGGAGAAGGAGUGUUUGGUGGUGUUGGAACAUAUGGAGGUUGAGAAAUUGGAGAAGGGGUUUUUGGAGGGUGGCUGCUAGGGGAAGGAGUAGUUGGAGGUGUGUAAGGAACACUAGGAGAAGGAGAUUUUGGUGGUGUAAUUGGUACAUAAGGUGGUUGAGAGAUAGGAGAAGGCGUUUUGGGAGGAGUUGGUGUAUAUGGUGGUUCAUUUUUAGGGGAAGGAGCUUUUGGAGGAGUGUAAGGAUGAUUUGGAGGGGUGUGAAUAGGAGAGGGAGUGUUUGGUGGUGUAAUUGGUACAUAGGGUGGUUGAUUGCUAGGGGAAGGUGCUUUUGGAGGAGUAUGGGGAUGAUUUGGAGGGGUGUAAAUAGGAGAAGGAGUGUUUGGUGGUGUGAUUGGUACAUAGGGUGGUUGAUUUCCAGGGGAAUGUGCUUUUGGUGGAGUAUAUGGAGCAUUAGGAGGAGUGUGAAUAGGAGAAGCUGAUUUUGGAGGAGUAUAUGGAACAUUAGGAGGAGUGUGAGUAGGAGAAGGUGUUUUUGGAGGUGUAAUUGGUGUAUAGGGUGGUUCAUUUCCAGGAGAAGGUGCUUUUGGAGGAGUAUAAGGAACAUUAGGAGGAGUGUGAAUAGGAGAAGGAGUUUUAGGGGGUGUAAUUGGUAUAUAUGGUGGUUCAUUUCCCGGAGAAGGGGCUUUUGGAGGAGUAUAGGGAACAUUAGGUGGGGCGUAAAUAGGAGAAGGUGUUUUUGGAGGUGUAAUUGGAACAUAAGGAGGUGUAGGAAGAAGCUUGGGAGGAGGAGUAGACACAUAAGGAGGAGGUUCUCUCACAGCCAACACCACAACAAUCAAUUUUUGACCAUUUUCACAAUUAUGAUCUUUUCCACUAAUGAAAUAAAAGGGACCAGAUCUAUCAAAUUGAAACUCAGAAUCAUCAUCUUCAAAUUUCUUGAUCGGAUUCUUCUUAUUGCACUCGUCAUAAUCCUCUUUGUUCACCACCAACACUGAGUUUGACUCCUUCUUGUACUUAAAAACUAUAACAAAACAAAAUCAUAAUUAAAAACUACUAAUCCACAAGCAAAUUAAUUAACAAUAAUUGAAAUGAAAGUUACCUAGAAUAUCAUUGACUUGGAACCUAUUCCUCGCAGUCCAUUGAUUGUAACUUUCAGAAGGAUUCAAAACCCAUCCAUCUUUUCCACCAGCAUAAAACGUAUAGCCUUGUGAACAUGAAAUUAAACUAAAAAGAAACAAGAAGAUGCAAAUAUGUUUUCGAAGAAGCUUCAUGACUAAUUAACAAGUACUAUACAUAGAGAGAGAGAGAAGAGAGUUAUGGAAAAGUGAUGAUGAAGAGAGUGAUAUAAAGAGAAAGUUUUUGUUGGUUACCGUUGUAUAGUGAUGACUGAAUUAUUAAUUGAUGUACGAACAAGCGUGUGUAACGCGGGGGGGUUACGUGUGAAAUUUUAAGGGAUCUACAAGUGGCAUAGACUAAAGUUAUGAUAGAGAUAUUAAUUUAAUAUAUAAUAGGAUGAAAUGGAUUAUUACUAUAACAUGCAAAGAAAUUUCUAAAGUAAGAAAAGCAUUAAUUAUGAGAUAUUAUUGCUUUCGUGGCCAAUGUUUAGUGGGUUGUGUCUUGUGAUGUGAAGUGAGAUUGAAAACUUUAUUUUCCUACCGACGAGACUAGAGGGCACUACGUGUUUGGCGAAAUGAUAGAGAUAUCAACUUGGAAUAUAUUGUAAGAUGGAGUUAAAUGACUGUUUGAGUUAACUUUCAUUGUUUUCAAUUCUUACUUUAAAAUUAGGAAAGAUAUAAAGGUAAAAGGUUAACAAAGAUAAAUAAAAGUUAUGAUUAUAUAAAUCAAUCAUGACUUUACUUUUAAGUAUAUGAUCCAAAAGUAGAAUUUGGGGAUUGGAAUAGUUGUGCUUUGAUUUACUUUUUACUUACAACUUUUUUUUGGUAACACAAAUUAGUGAUCCAAUCAUGGGUUUGUUGAGUCAACUUUAUUUACAUUAGUUAACUUUUUUCUUAUAUUUAAAACUGGAUGGAGUAACUAUUUUACCUUAUAUUGUAAAUUGGUCUUAAAUCAAAGGAGACAUGAAAUUGGGAAACCAAUGAAAUAAAAAGUUGUAAGGUUGACAUAAACAGCUAAAUGCUGCCAACCACAUCCUCUAGCCACCCCUGCAUUAUUUAAGGCAUUUGUUCCCUGAGAUCAUUUUGAUAAUGAUCAUAUGAUAAAUUGACACCUGAUAAGACACAUUGAAUAGAAUUUAGUAGUACGGAAACAGCAAGCAAAGGUGCUAUUGAAGCAAACUCCUUUUUUUUUAUAGUAGGACUACUACUAAAUAGUUGAAUCCUUAUGUCAUGACCAAAUACAAGAAACAAAACAAAACAUAAACCAAGGAAAAGAGAAAGCUUUAGACCGGCUCUCAUUGAAUGUUUAGCUCUUUGCGGUUGGCCUGCUCCCAACUCUUUGGAAACCCUUGUGCUAUAAAAUUUGAGUUCAAACUUUUUAAUAUAUAAACAAGAACAUAGAUUAAAUGCUUAUAACAGAAUAUUCUUGGUGCAUAAGAUAAAGAAGAUAAAAAUAGUAGAAAAGAGAAGAGAGAUAACAAAUUUUUAAUCCUAUGUUAAAACGGUUACACAAAAAUGGUUGCACACACACUGCAUUACAAUAUUAAGUGGGUACAAUUGUUGAUAGUUACAGUGCUAUAUAUACACAAAUAAUAAUGUCACGUAGACGAAAUAUUAAAAUACUGAAUUACCCUUCAACGUCAUCCCUUAAUUCAGGAUUUGACUAAUCAAAACCAAUAACACUAAUUAUAUCUUUAAAUGAAGAAAUUGACCAAUCUUGAUCAUUUUCGUCAGAACAUCUACCAGCUGCUUCCGGGUGCUAUAGUGCAUAACUUCUAGCACUCCAUUUUGAACUUGACUUCUCAGAAAAUGAUACUUAGUCUAAGUAUGCUUGCUUCUCCCAACAACACUGGAUUAUUGACAAGAUUGAUUGCAGACUUGUUAUCAAUCAUUAGCUUCUGAGGCUCAUUUACCUUGAUUGUCAUAUCCUGUAGUAAAUUUAGAAGUCAAACAACUUGACAUGCAGUCAUAUCACCUGCAAUACAUUCAGAUUCACAGGUUGACAAAACAACAAUUGGUUGAUUCUUGGAACACCAAGAAAUAGGACCUCCUAGAUACUUAAACAAAUAUCCAGAAGUACUUCUUCUGCCAACUACAUAGCAAAUGUCAGGUCUGAUAUUUCACAAACACCUCAUAGAGUCAACCAACUGCUUGAAAGUCGUAGCAUAUACAUCAUCUCCUUCAGAAUCAGAAUCCAAUUUAUGAUUUAUUUUUACAGGUGUGACAGCAGCCUCACAAUUCAGCAACUCGAAUCUCUUCAGAAGCUCAAGUUCAUAUUUCAGCUGAUGCAAAAUGAUACCCUUCUCAGAGCACAUAAACUCCACCCCUAGGAAAUUUUUCAUCUUUCUUAGAUCAGUUAUCUCAAACUCAUUCAUCAACACCUUCUUGAACUUAGCUAUCUCAUGUUCACAACUCCCUGUUAGCAACAUGUCAUCAACAUAGAGACACACUAGAAUCAUAUUGCCUUCAGAAGUAUGCUGAACAUCAAUCCAUACUUCAUCUCACACUUUCUGAAUCCUUGGAGCUUGAAAAAUGAUUUAAUCUUCAGAUUAUAAGCUCGAGGAGCUUGUUUCAGCCCAUACAAGACUUUAUGCAACUUAUACACCAUCCCUUCCUGAUUCUUUUUCUCAAAUCUAGGAGGUUGUGAC
RNAcentral lists this long non-coding RNA (4317 nucleotides) under Lathyrus oleraceus (garden pea). RNAcentral's name for it is "Pisum sativum (pea) long non-coding RNA (PSAT_LNC022254)". The record is from RNAcentral. Lineage: Eukaryota; Viridiplantae; Streptophyta; Magnoliopsida; Fabales; Fabaceae.